AUGGACCACGAGAUUCCAUACAAUAGGUCCUAUGCGUGGGACUCGGAGGAUGAAGGCCCGGAUGAAGAAAUAGAUGAGGAUGGUUUGACGGCCAAAGAAGCCAAUGCUUUCAAGAAGGUAAUAGGCCGUAGUCACAAGACAUCAUUGUUUCGUGAUCUAAGCCUAGCCGAUAAGGCGAUUGUUGUUGGUGGCACAAGUAAAAUUCUUGCACCAAGG
Molecule: ribosomal RNA, 216 nt
Filed under: Triticum aestivum (bread wheat)
Lineage: Eukaryota; Viridiplantae; Streptophyta; Magnoliopsida; Poales; Poaceae
Description: partial small subunit ribosomal RNA
Source: RNAcentral